Molecule: ribosomal RNA, 237 nt
Filed under: uncultured bacterium
Lineage: Bacteria
Description: partial 16S ribosomal RNA
Rfam family: Bacterial small subunit ribosomal RNA
Source: RNAcentral
GACGAACGCUGGCGGCGUGCUUAACACAUGCAAGUCGAGCGGUAAGGCCCUUUCGGGGGUACACGAGCGGCGAACGGGUGAGUAACACGUGGGUGACCUGCCCUCAGCUCUGGGAUAAGCCUGGGAAACCGGGUCUAAUACCGGAUAUGACUCCAUGACGCAUGUUGUGGGGUGGAAAGCCUUGUGCGGCUGAGGAUGGGCCCGCGGCCUAUCAGCUUGUUGGUGGGUGAUGGCCUA